This 74-nucleotide transfer RNA is filed under the name Orchesella cincta. It matches the Rfam family "tRNA". Rfam says of the family: Transfer RNA (tRNA) molecules are approximately 80 nucleotides in length. Their secondary structure includes four short double-helical elements and three loops (D, anti-codon, and T loops). Further hydrogen bonds mediate the characteristic L-shaped molecular structure. tRNAs have two regions of fundamental functional importance: the anti-codon, which is responsible for specific mRNA codon recognition, and the 3' end, to which the tRNAs corresponding amino acid is attached (by aminoacyl-tRNA synthetases). tRNAs cope with the degeneracy of the genetic code in two manners: having more than one tRNA (with a specific anti-codon) for a particular amino acid; and 'wobble' base-pairing, i.e. permitting non-standard base-pairing at the 3rd anti-codon position. The record is from Rfam by way of RNAcentral. Lineage: Eukaryota; Metazoa; Arthropoda; Collembola; Entomobryomorpha; Orchesellidae.
GCCUCCGUGGCGCAAUUGGUUAGCGCGUUCGGCUGUUAACCGAAAGGUUGGUGGUUCAAGCCCACCUGGGGGCG